Molecule: transfer RNA, 71 nt
Filed under: Strigamia maritima
Lineage: Eukaryota; Metazoa; Arthropoda; Chilopoda; Geophilomorpha; Linotaeniidae
Rfam family: tRNA
About the family: Transfer RNA (tRNA) molecules are approximately 80 nucleotides in length. Their secondary structure includes four short double-helical elements and three loops (D, anti-codon, and T loops).
Source: Rfam by way of RNAcentral
UCCCAGGUAGCUUAAUGGUAGAGCAACCGACCGGCAAUUGGAGGACCUGGGUUCAAGUUCCGGCCCGGGCU